Molecule: unclassified non-coding RNA, 229 nt
Filed under: Hevea brasiliensis (rubber tree)
Lineage: Eukaryota; Viridiplantae; Streptophyta; Magnoliopsida; Malpighiales; Euphorbiaceae
Source: RNAcentral
GUGCAAGUUAGGCACCUACAAAAGUACCUGUAGAGGUACUUGCUUCCAGGUACUUGUAGAGGUACUUAUAGAGGCACCUAUAAAGACACGAAUUUCUCAAAUCCAAUAGAAAUCAAUAAGACCCAUUCAAGUAUUGCAUUACUCCAUAGCAAAAUUAGCAUCAAGACGAAAUUAGAGGGUUGUAUUAUCACCUGAAAUCAAGGAGAUACCGUCAGUGAAAGAUAGUGGC